AGUUCUCGUUGAUGAUCGGUGCUUGCACCGAGAUUCAACAUGGAACGAGUGGCGGACGGGUGAGUAACACGUGGGUAACCUGCCCUUAAGUGGGGGAUAACAUUUGGAAACAGAUGCUAAUACCGCAUAGAUCCAAGAACCGCAUGGUUCUUGGCUGAAAGAUGGCGUAAGCUAUCGCUUUUGGAUGGACCCGCGGCGUAUUAGCUAGUUGGUGAGGUAACGGCUCACCAAGGCGAUGAUACGUAGCCGAACUGAGAGGUUGAUCGGCCACAUUGGGACUGAGACACGGCCCAAACUCCUACGGGAGGCAGCAGUAGGGAAUCUUCCACAAUGGACGCAAGUCUGAUGGAGCAACGCCGCGUGAGUGAAGAAGGCUUUCGGGUCGUAAAACUCUGUUGUUGGAGAAGAAUGGUCGGCAGAGUAACUGUUGUCGGCGUGACGGUAUCCAACCAGAAAGCCACGGCUAACUACGUGCCAGCAGCCGCGGUAAUACGUAGGUGGCAAGCGUUAUCCGGAUUUAUUGGGCGUAAAGCGAGCGCAGGCGGUUUUUUAAGUCUGAUGUGAAAGCCCUCGGCUUAACCGAGGAAGCGCAUCGGAAACUGGGAAACUUGAGUGCAGAAGAGGACAGUGGAACUCCAUGUGUAGCGGUGAAAUGCGUAGAUAUAUGGAAGAACACCAGUGGCGAAGGCGGCUGUCUGGUCUGUAACUGACGCUGAGGCUCGAAAGCAUGGGUAGCGAACAGGAUUAGAUACCCUGGUAGUCCAUGCCGUAAACGAUGAAUGCUAGGUGUUGGAGGGUUUCCGCCCUUCAGUGCCGCAGCUAACGCAUUAAGCAUUCCGCCUGGGGAGUACGACCGCAAGGUUGAAACUCAAAGGAAUUGACGGGGG
This 887-nucleotide ribosomal RNA is filed under the name uncultured bacterium. Its description in RNAcentral is "bacterial SSU rRNA". It matches the Rfam family "Bacterial small subunit ribosomal RNA", at positions 60 to 919 of the family's 1533-position model. The record is from RNAcentral.